RNAcentral lists this long non-coding RNA (334 nucleotides) under Zea mays. RNAcentral describes it as "long non-coding RNA (ZMAY_LNC004540)". The record is from RNAcentral. Lineage: Eukaryota; Viridiplantae; Streptophyta; Magnoliopsida; Poales; Poaceae.
GAUGACGCGGUCGGCCGUGGCCGCCAUCACCUUGUGUUCCAGCUUCGACAUGAGCCGCCGCAUCGCUCCGCCAGCUAGAGCCGCUGCCCGACGCAACCUGCUAGGCGUACAGUGAUGACAGGUAUGCUAAAACUAGCUUCUACAUGUAUUCACUUGCAGCAGCUAUGACCAGAGAAAUCAUGCUCUUAUUUUGUUUCAGGCUGUUUGCAAUAGUAGAUUCCUGGUUACGAAGUGUGAUUCUUCCAUCAUGGUAUUGUAUAAAUUAUGAAAUCAUAUAUUGGUAAAGCUGAUUAGCGUUAGCACUGGUUAGCCCAUGACCUUGCAUUUGUCUAUU